Molecule: ribosomal RNA, 460 nt
Filed under: uncultured Sediminibacterium sp.
Lineage: Bacteria; Pseudomonadati; Bacteroidota; Chitinophagia; Chitinophagales; Chitinophagaceae
Description: bacterial SSU rRNA
Rfam family: Bacterial small subunit ribosomal RNA
Source: RNAcentral
CCUACGGGAGGCAGCAGUAAGGAAUAUUGGACAAUGGACGCAAGUCUGAUCCAGCCAUGCCGCGUGAAGGAUGAAUGCCCUCUGGGUUGUAAACUUCUUUUAUAGGGGAAGAAAGUUAUCUUUUUUAGGAUAUUUGACGGUACCCUGUGAAUAAGCACCGGCUAACUCCGUGCCAGCAGCCGCGGUAAUACGGAGGGUGCAAGCGUUAUCCGGAUUCACUGGGUUUAAAGGGUGCGUAGGCGGGUAUGUAAGUCAGUGGUGAAAUACCGGAGCUUAACUUCGGAACUGCCAUUGAUACUAUAUAUCUUGAAUAUUGUGGAGGUAAGCGGAAUAUGUCAUGUAGCGGUGAAAUGCUUAGAGAUGACAUAGAACACCGAUUGCGAAGGCAGCUUGCUACGCAAAUAUUGACGCUGAGGCACGAAAGCGUGGGGAUCAAACAGGAUUAGAUACCCUGGUAGUC